Molecule: ribosomal RNA, 168 nt
Filed under: Ceratobasidium sp.
Lineage: Eukaryota; Fungi; Basidiomycota; Agaricomycetes; Cantharellales; Ceratobasidiaceae
Description: partial large subunit ribosomal RNA
Rfam family: Eukaryotic large subunit ribosomal RNA
Source: RNAcentral
CGGGAAGAGCUCAAAUUUAAAAUCUGGCAGUGUAUUCUGUCCGAGUUGUAGUCUAGAGAAGCAUCAUCCGUGCUGGACCAUGUACAAGUCUCUUGGAACAGAGCGUCAUAGAGGGUGAGAAUCCCGUCCUUGACAUGGACUCCCAGUACUUUGUGUUGUGCUCUCAAC